UAGGGAAUCUUCCGCAAUGGACGCAAGUCUGACGGAGCAACGCCGCGUGAGUGAAGAAGGAUUUCGGUUCGUAAAACUCUGUUGUUAGAGAAGAACAGCGCAUAGAGUAACUGUUAUGCGUGUGACGGUAUCUAACCAGAAAGCCACGGCUAACUACGUGCCAGCAGCCGCGGUAAUACGUAGGUGGCAAGCGUUGUCCGGAUUUAUUGGGCGUAAAGCGAGCGCAGGCGGUCAAUUAAGUCUGAUGUGAAAGCCCCCGGCUCAACCGGCGAGGGUCAUUGGAAACUGGUUGACUUGAGUGCAGAAGAGGAGAGUGGAAUUCCAUGUGUAACGGUGAAAUGCGUAGAUAUAUGGAGGAACACCAGUGGCGAAGGCGACUCUCUGGUCUGUAUCUGACGCUGAGGCUCGAAAGCGUGGGUAGCAAACAGG
RNAcentral lists this ribosomal RNA (429 nucleotides) under Bacteroidota bacterium. RNAcentral describes it as "Bacteroidetes bacterium partial 16S ribosomal RNA". It matches the Rfam family "Bacterial small subunit ribosomal RNA", at positions 355 to 776 of the family's 1533-position model. Lineage: Bacteria; Pseudomonadati; Bacteroidota. The record is from RNAcentral.